CCUACGGGAGGCAGCAGUGAGGAAUAUUGGUCAAUGGCCGCAGGGCUGAACCAGCCAAGUCGCGUGAGGGAUGACGGUCCUAUGGAUUGUAAACCUCUUUUGUCAGGGAGCAAAGGGCGCCACGUGUGGCGCUUUGCGAGUACCUGAAGAAAAAGCAUCGGCUAACUCCGUGCCAGCAGCCGCGGUAAUACGGAGGAUGCGAGCGUUAUCCGGAUUUAUUGGGUUAAAAGGGUGCGCAGGCGGAAUGUCAAGUCAGCGGUAAAAUUUCGGGGCUCAACCCCGUCGUGCCGUUGAAACUGGCGUUCUUGAGUGAGCGAGAAGUAUGCGGAAUGCGUGGUGUAGCGGUGAAAUGCAUAGAUAUCACGCGGAACUCCGAUUGCGAAGGCAGCAUACCGGCGCUCAACUGACGCUCAUGCACGAAAGCGUGGGUAUCGAACAGGAUUAGAUACCCGAGUAGUC
This 459-nucleotide ribosomal RNA is filed under the name uncultured bacterium. Its description in RNAcentral is "partial 16S ribosomal RNA". It matches the Rfam family "Bacterial small subunit ribosomal RNA", at positions 338 to 795 of the family's 1533-position model. The record is from RNAcentral.